GGGUGACAGGUGGUGCAUGGUUGUCGUCAGCUCGUGUCGUGAGAUGUUGGGUUAAGUCCCGCAACGAGCGCAACCCUCGACCUUAGUUGCCAGCAUUCAGUUGGGCACUCUAAGGUGACUGCCGGCUAAAAGUCGGAGGAAGGUGGGGAUGACGUCAAAUCAUCAUGCCCCUUACGACCUGGGCUACACACGUGCUACAAUGGGCGGUACAAAGGGUCGCGAACCCGCGAGGGGGAGCCAAUCCCAAAAAGCCGCUCUCAGUUCGGAUUGCAGGCUGCAACUCGCCUGCAUGAAGCCGGAAUCGCUAGUAAUCGCGGAUCAGCAUGCCGCGGUGAAUACGUUCCCGGGCCUU
RNAcentral lists this ribosomal RNA (352 nucleotides) under uncultured Anoxybacillus sp. RNAcentral describes it as "bacterial SSU rRNA". It matches the Rfam family "Bacterial small subunit ribosomal RNA", at positions 1029 to 1382 of the family's 1533-position model. Lineage: Bacteria; Bacillati; Bacillota; Bacilli; Caryophanales; Anoxybacillaceae. The record is from RNAcentral.